Long non-coding RNA from Vicia villosa (hairy vetch), 1310 nucleotides. RefSeq lists it as uncharacterized. NCBI's taxonomy places the organism in Eukaryota, Viridiplantae, Streptophyta, Magnoliopsida, Fabales, Fabaceae. The transcript has 2 exons. The record is from RefSeq and is a predicted model, not a curated record.
UCAAGAGGAGAUUGGCUGAUGCUGCUUUUGGAACAAAGAGACAUAAUGAAAUGGUAGAUUUUGAUUUCUGUUUAGCACUUAUUUUCUACUAUGCUAAUAACAAGUAAUUACAUGACAAACUCAUUAUUUCAGUUUGACUUUUUGGAUGUUGAAAAUUUAGAAGUGACACAUGAAUCUCAGCUUAGAGAUGAAAUUUUACAUAAUAUACAAUUCCACAUGUUUAAGGUGCCACUAUUGCACUUAUUGUUAACGUGUAUUUUUUUAAAGGAUGAUUUUUCUAGGUCUGAGAUAUGUUAUAUUUAUGAAAACAUAAUUAGAUGAUAUGACACCCUUCAUGGUUUUCUAGUUAAAUAUGAUUUCAUAUGACCACAUUUAAUCUUGGAGUAAAUAAUAUCCUUCAUGGUUUUAAAGAUGAUACCCUUCAUGGUUUUCUAAUCAACUAGUGGGGCUGAUUCUGAUGUAACUUUUAAAGAUGAAUUUGUUGGAUUGUUGAAUUGCUCUGAUCAUUAUUCAGCAUAGAGCUUCCUAUGCUAUCAAAGUAUUGUUCAUAUUUAUGGUAUUCAUGGGUUGAUAUUGUUUGUUGGUUGGAUGGGAGUUGAACUCUUUUAUAUAGCUUAACAACUCUUUUUCUGCAGUGUGUUAUCUUUCCUUGAUAAUUCUUCUCAUUACUGAUUUAGAGUUAAUGUUCCACUGGUCUAGAGUUUUAUCUGUAGAAGUACUUUCUCAUGUUAGUUUUGCAGUGAAGGACAAUCUUGGAUAGAGUUCAUUAUGCAGAAGUUGAAGGGCAAAAGUCUAAACUGUGAAUUACUAUGGCAGCAAAAGCACGUAAACUAUAUUCUGUUUUGUAGAUAUCAAACUUCAAUGCAAAUGUGACUUUUGCUCUUGAAGAGUUCAGGGAACUGCAUGAUCUAAUAAAAGGUUAACCGAUGGUUGUCAAGUUGUGGUUAUAAGCUUCGGUAUGAGAUUCGAAUAUUCUUCGGAGGACUUGACGAUAAUGAAGCGCUUGCUUAUGGUAUGAGAAUAGUCUAACAUCCUGACAUUGUGCUAACUGUUGUUAAAUUUGUGUCUCCACCCGGAACAACAUUAUCAUUCGGUGCUAAGUUAGUCGGUGUUGCAUCGGUAGAAUAUACUAUGUUAGGAAGAAUGUAAAUAGGUUAACAGUUGAUUGUAUAUUAUCAAAGAAUGUAAAUAGGUUAACUGGUGAUUGUAUGUUAUCAUUUCAUCAUUAAUUUUUUUACUGAGGUGCUUUUGAAUUUUCAUUUGUAUCAUAUUUCCAAACAAUGAUAUUAUUAUUAUGAUUAUUAUUAUUA